Molecule: non-coding RNA, 31 nt
Organism: Triticum aestivum (bread wheat)
Lineage: Eukaryota; Viridiplantae; Streptophyta; Magnoliopsida; Poales; Poaceae
Source: Rfam
AAAACAUCCGGGACAGUGUUCCCGGUGUUUC